RNAcentral lists this ribosomal RNA (468 nucleotides) under uncultured bacterium. Its description in RNAcentral is "partial 16S ribosomal RNA". It matches the Rfam family "Bacterial small subunit ribosomal RNA", at positions 28 to 507 of the family's 1533-position model. The record is from RNAcentral.
GACGAACGCUGGCGGCGUGCUUAACACAUGCAAGUCGAACGGAAAGGCACUGCUUUUGUGGGGUGCUCGAGUGGCGAACGGGUGAGUAACACGUGAGUAACCUGCCCUUGACUUUGGGAUAACUUCAGGAAACUGGGGCUAAUACCGGAUAGGAGCUCCUGCUGCAUGGUGGGGGUUGGAAAGUUUCGGCGGUUGGGGAUGGACGCGCGGCUUAUCAGCUUGUUGGUGGGGUAGUGGCUUACCAAGGCAUUGACGGGUAGCCGGCCUGAGAGGGUGACCGGCCACAUUGGGACUGCGAGACGGCCCAGACUCCUACGGGAGGCAGCAGUCGGGAAUAUUGCACAAUGGGCGGAAGCCUGAUGCAGCAACGCCGCGUGCGGGAUGACGGCCUUCGGGUUGUAAACCGCUUUCGCCUGUGACGAAGCGUGAGUGACGGUAAUGGGUAAAGAAGCACCGGCUAACUACGUG